Molecule: long non-coding RNA, 574 nt
Organism: Athalia rosae (coleseed sawfly)
Lineage: Eukaryota; Metazoa; Arthropoda; Insecta; Hymenoptera; Athaliidae
Exons: 3
Source: RefSeq, a predicted model, not a curated record
GGUGGUUCUUGAUAAGCUGCGUCGGUAGCAUCAGGAUAACUCGUAUAGCCCGCUCCACCGACUGGAUCCGCUUCAUAACUUGGGGCAAAAGCUGCGUCGGUUCCCUGCUUGAAUCUUUGAAACGCGAACCAGGCACAUCCACCCUGCAUUGAUGAUAAAAAAACAACGAUUAAGUCGCGAUACGAUCACAGCUUACCCAUGUAAAUAUUGAGAAGAAGCAGAAUGCAAUGGCGGCUUGAACAUUGUUUACGCCAUAUCCCUUCUCAGGAGUUUCUGAACUGCCCCAGGCAUUGGCCAGGUAACAAAAUCCAACGAAAUAUAGAAAAGCCCAGAGUCCAGAAAUACUGCAACACAUUGGAAUCGAAUAAUUCACAGAUAUUCAAAUGCUUCUGAUCAAUACAAGUGAUGGUGAUGAUUAGGCAAUGCUUACCCAAGAUCUAAGAGAACGUAAUGCUUGCGUGUCUUGACAGAUGACAUCUGUUCAAACAAGUAUUCUCCAGCAAGAAAUCCGAUACUUCCCAAGAAUGCCAGAACUCCAAUCCCAACGCCAUAAUUGCAGGCGUUUGUGUCUCCA